This 335-nucleotide long non-coding RNA is filed under the name Paramuricea clavata. Lineage: Eukaryota; Metazoa; Cnidaria; Anthozoa; Malacalcyonacea; Plexauridae. The record is from RNAcentral.
CAUUUGUAAAUUCUGAACGCUGAUUGGCUAAGAGCCGUGUUGAUAUAACUCCAUGUCAACACGGGAAAUUUUCCGCCGCUUAUAAACACGGAAAUUGUUCUUAUUCUUCGGGCUUUUGACAUUGCUAUAUUAUAAAACAAAUAUAAAACAUUUUUUCCGUAUUGAUAUAUAGCUAUAUCAACACUCGUGGAAGUUGGGAAAACUCGAAAUUGUGUGAAAACACUCCGCCCUUCGGGCGUCGUGUUUCCACACAAUUUCUCGUUUUCCCAAUUUCCACUCGUGUUGAUAUAACUGUAUAUCAACACGGAAAAUGUUUUAUAUUUGUUAAAUAUCAC